GUUGGUUUAGUAUAAUUUAUUACAUCUGUUUUAAGCGCAGAAGAUAGAUAAUCAACU
RNAcentral lists this transfer RNA (57 nucleotides) under Strongyloides papillosus. RNAcentral's name for it is "tRNA-Leu". Lineage: Eukaryota; Metazoa; Nematoda; Chromadorea; Rhabditida; Strongyloididae. The record is from RNAcentral.